Folsomia candida is the source of this 1423-nucleotide long non-coding RNA. RefSeq lists it as uncharacterized. Lineage: Eukaryota; Metazoa; Arthropoda; Collembola; Entomobryomorpha; Isotomidae. The transcript is spliced from 3 exons. The record is from RefSeq and is a predicted model, not a curated record.
AGAUUUAUGCCAACUCAGACAGUCAGAUACCGACAAACGAUACGAACAAACUAUUUAACCACUCCAUGCAACACCCUCACAAACAAUGCCAUACGAACGAUGAGACCAAAGUCAAAGUCACUAACGAGAAGACAAUUAAUUGCGCUAUAACUUGGACGAUGAGUAAUGUUCUUACUUAGCGAGGCUGCGCUCGUGCAUACAUAGAAAUGGCAUGCAGAAAUGGCAUGCAGAUAAAAAUACCUACCUAUUCAUUCCUUAUUCUUCUAAAAGUACAAAAUAUUAUGUAAUAUAAUGACCAAAAGUUAAUAAUUGCUUUUGCUAGUGCCGUGGUGGUGGGAGAAUAAAACCAUCACACCGUUAAGUCCAUCAUUAUAUCGUCAUUACGUUAUGUUACAUGUUCCGCUGCUUUUUAAGAAGCUCCGCAGGUGCACACAGAAUUCAUUUUUAUGUAAAGAAAAAAAACGAUCUUUGCCAUCACCACCAUGAAUAAUUGUUCUUCCUUAUUUUACAUAACUUUUAACCUGUAAAAAUACAUAAUUUUGGAGGAUGAGCCAGCUAAAUUCAAUCCAACCAAGAAUAGUACUUGCUAUAUAUGUAACUUUUAAUGCUGGUUAAAAUUAAAUAGUUGUAUCUUCUCCGCUGGCUGACACACAGCACAUCGAGAGAGUUACAUACAAGAAAAGAAGAGAGAUUACGAGUGAUAGAAGUUAAGAGGUUCAUCUUUAAAGAGACCUUGGCCAGCCCAAUUUUAAGUAUUUUUUUACAAGUGUCACGCAUCCAUAUAUUAUGCAUUUAAGCAUCUCUACUUACUACUUGUGUCAUUCCACACAUGUAAUUUUAUCUUUAUGUAUGUAUGUAUCUGCGUAAAAUUAUUUUUGACACGUUUUCUGACGUAAAAUCUGCACAUCUCUCGCUAAACUCGAGCUCUCUGAGGAGAAGAAUAUUUUUUAAAACUUUUAUCCUCCUCCUUGUCCCGCAAUUUAUGAAUGUUUACUAAUUAUAUUUCAACCCAGGAGGAUAGUAUUUCUUCGUUACCUGUGUAAUCAUCGUUACGACGUGGCAGUUUUAUUGCCUUGAUGAAUGAAUGGAAGACAUUGUUUAAUAGCAAGUCUCGAGCGAUUUUCCCAGCAAAAUUGCAAGGUAGUUGUGUAAGUACAGGUCGUGCCUGGUGGUCAUGAAAUAUAUGUUUACUUUCGUUUGUCCGUGAAUUUUAUCCUGUACAAUUUCUCGUUUUAAAAAAUGUUCUAUCCUUCGGCUAUAAUAAACUUGGCUUAGGAGAAGAGAGAACAAGAGAAAAAAUCAACUAGUUUCUGCACAAGGUCGAUCCUUCUCUCAGAAAGGCACAGACCUAGCUUAAAACGAGACCAUUUACUUUAUAAAUCAUGACUUUUUAAAUCCGCAAUAUAAAUUUAGUAGACAAAAA